GUACUUGCUUCAGCAGCACAUAUACUAAAAUUGGAAUGAUACAGAGAAGAUUAGCAUGGCCCCUGCACAAGGAUGAUACUUAUUCAUGAAGUGUUUCGUAUUUUC
This 105-nucleotide small nuclear RNA is filed under the name Carlito syrichta (Philippine tarsier). The record is from RNAcentral. Lineage: Eukaryota; Metazoa; Chordata; Mammalia; Primates; Tarsiidae.